GCAGUGGGUGCUUUCCUUCCUUUCCAGAGCCCCGUAGUGCACCUGCUUGGUUAGGGAGCAUGUGAGCCGAAACACUGGGAGAAACUUCAUCCGCGGUGGGCGGUGGUGGAGCCGGGAGUUUGGUCUUGAGUGAGCGCGAGCGAGAAUGCCAGCGUGAGGGGAGUGGGGAAAGAUCGAGGAGCGGAAGGGAGAGGUGUCAGCGUCUUCCCUCCGUCCUGCAGACGACCCUUCUUACGCGGGAGACAGUUGCCCGUCACAGGAAGUAAGGGACCAUGGUGCUCAGUAGUUUGGAUAAGAUGAUUCACCUGCAGAAAAACACUGCCAACAUCAGGAACAUCUGCGUUUUGGCUCACGUUGACCAUGGAAAAACUACUCUGACUGACUGUCUUCUGUCUAGCAAUGGGGUCAUCUCCAGCCGCCUGGCGGGUAAGGUAAGUU
Leptonychotes weddellii (Weddell seal) is the source of this 438-nucleotide non-coding RNA. The record is from RefSeq and is a predicted model, not a curated record. Lineage: Eukaryota; Metazoa; Chordata; Mammalia; Carnivora; Phocidae.